UGACUUCAGACAUUACAAACCUGGUACCUCAGAAAAGAGAGUCCAGUGGAUCAAACUCUUGCCCUCCAGUAGACUGCGGAUGCUCACCCUUCUGUGGGAGUCGGAGGUUCCUCUUCUGUGCUCCAGACAACCGGCUACCACCUAGAGGAUGCUGAUACCCUCUUUUUCUCACCAUCUUCUGCCCCCAGACCCCUUCAGAGGCAUAGCAGGCUGGAAGGAGCAGCCUACCAGUGCCCUAGUCACCAUAGGGGAGCCACCGGGCAGCAGAAAGAGGCGGCCAGCCGACGCCUGCCCUUCGGCCGAAUGACCCACCGCUGCCGCGCCGCCACCUCUGCACCUGCCUGGCUGAGGAAAGGAAAAGACUUUCGGGGGUUUAGAAGAAGACAAGUCUUCCGGCU
Bos taurus (domestic cattle) is the source of this 398-nucleotide long non-coding RNA. Lineage: Eukaryota; Metazoa; Chordata; Mammalia; Artiodactyla; Bovidae. The record is from Ensembl.